Molecule: long non-coding RNA, 1535 nt
Organism: Lycium ferocissimum
Lineage: Eukaryota; Viridiplantae; Streptophyta; Magnoliopsida; Solanales; Solanaceae
Exons: 2
Source: RefSeq, a predicted model, not a curated record
UUGUGAAGAGUGUCUGUUAUUCUUUUCUGAACUUCACAUUAUAUUCUAUUAAAUUUUCAGAAAAAAGUUUGUAAAAAUACUCAGUAAUUAACAUACUACUCCUCAUGAAAUGAAAGAUUUUUAUUUCUUAUCUUUUAGUGAUGAAAAUUAAUAAAUGAGAUUUGGCUUUUGAUUUGAUGAUUGCGAGCUUCAGAGAGAAAAAUGGAAAAUAGCUUGAAUAUUCUUAAGUUUUCCAUUUCUCUAGAUGUAAAUGCAUCACACGUCAUACGCUAGCUAAUACAAAGAAUUUGAAUGUCAUUUUUGACUCACCUUAUGUAGAUUGAUUAAAUCUAAUGUAUCCAAAGGGAGUCCUAUUAAAACUCUGAAUUUCUUACUUUAUUAUUUAAUGCAUAGAGAUUUGGAAGGUAAAAAGGUUGUGUUGUUUUCGACAUUUGAAGAUGUUUUUUGGAAAUGUUUUUGGAGAAAAUUUCUGAAAAACCAUUUUUGUUUGGAUGAUUGUUAUUUCAAAAGUAAUUCUGAAAAACUAACCGUGUUUGACUGGAUGUUUAUGAGAAAGCAGAAGAACAAAAAAGCGACCUAUCAUUUUAAUGAACUUCCAAUCAAACCCUUCAUAUGAAGAGAAACUUUACUUGAUCAUUUGAUUAUUCAUAAUCUCUCAUUAGUUUUAGUCUCCCAUGCCACACUGGUGCAAUUUUUGGCAUGGAACUUGAAUUAGCAUCCUUUACUUACCUACUGCAUCAGAUUUUCUUUAACCAUAAUGUGUUCCAAAUCGGUGUUCCCUUUCCACUAUUCCAUUAAAAUAUUGUUGCCGCUGAUAUUUUUAUGUAGAAAAAGAGACAGCAAAUCAAGCUGCAGAUAAUUUGAAUGAAGUUCUCAAUCAUUUGGAUCUAAGGAGAAAAGAGAGGUCCAAUAGAGGCUAAUAGGUUGAAGGCAUUGCUAAGAGCUGUUUCUCUACUGCUUUAAUCAAGUCUACUUGAUUGUUUCUACAUAAAGCCCGAUAAAGAUUGAUUGUAAAAUUCAAUAGGAAACUCAAGAAGUGUUACUACAAAGUGAAUCUACAUCCUUCGUGUUAGUUUCAAGUAUUGUAUUGAACAUUAUACUCAUCGCGGACUUUUUCAAUGACAAUGAUUAGAUUUUCUAAAUAUUUAAAGUAUGUGGUAUCAUUGUUUGUAUUAUGGACGUUCUUACUUUUCAGAUGUGACAUUUUUGUUUUGUUUUUCAUUAUUUUCAGAUAAAUAUAGCCUGCUGAAGCUGGCGCUCUAGAUCUUUCCUCCCUAGCCACUUCUGCAUAGAGGAGGAUAAUAUAAUUCUUCACUCCAACCCUGGAAGGCAGGGAGCUCACCAAGUAAGUUAGGCUCAACCGUUAAUCUGUACCAGGAAUACUAGAACAAAUGCUAUUUGAAUUAUAUUGGCCUUAUUUAAUAUUUUUUUUUAGUUUAGUAACUAAACCGACUUAUUUUUCGUGUUGCACGGGCUUGCCACCAUCUAGUAAUCUUAUAAACAUUCAUUAUUUAUAAAGUAUGCAUCCAAUAGUA